UCGUAUCUUUCCUCACGUUUUCUCUGUACUUUCUCUCUUUCAUCAUCUUUGUCCAGUCCUCACGCCGGCAACGCUGUUGCCGAUCUAUCUCCGUCGGCGGGAGGCUGCUCUAUCUGUCUUUUUCUCCAUCAAUUAGAUUACUCCAGGGAUCUUGAUCUAGGAGUGAGAGAUAGGGGAAACGAAAGGAGAAGAAUUUUCUUCUAAGUAAAUUUGAUUUUGGGUUUCGUAGAUUUUCCACGCGGAUCAAGCUCAUACGCUUUUUUUCUAUUUCGAAAUUCAACCCAGAUAGUGUUCUUAUUUGAUUGGUGUAAUGAAUAAAUAGUCAAAGAGAAAAGAAAGCCCAAAUAGAUUAUUCAUGGAGUCACCGCCAAUGGAAGUUGAAACAGGUAACUUUUACAUUUCUGGGUUUUAGAUUUUAAAGUUUAUUAGUAUUAGUUUCCUAUAAUACACUUUGAAUGAUUGGGUGUUCAUGU
This is a long non-coding RNA of Vitis riparia (riverbank grape), 473 nucleotides long. RefSeq lists it as uncharacterized. Lineage: Eukaryota; Viridiplantae; Streptophyta; Magnoliopsida; Vitales; Vitaceae. The transcript is spliced from 3 exons. The record is from RefSeq and is a predicted model, not a curated record.